This 5653-nucleotide long non-coding RNA is filed under the name Sus scrofa (pig). RNAcentral describes it as "lncRNA (ENSSSCG00000055337.1)". Lineage: Eukaryota; Metazoa; Chordata; Mammalia; Artiodactyla; Suidae. The record is from RNAcentral.
UAUCUGCAGAACCCAGACCAGGGCUUGGCACCUACCAGUUAUUCUCAUAAAUCUCUUAAAUCGGUGGCAAAAUGAAUGAAUGCCCACCCAAACUCAAAGGCAAGCUAAUCUUCGCCCAUCAAAAUCCUAUCCAUUUCUCAAGGUCUGUCUUAAAUUCUACUUCCUUCAUAUGUCUGUUCCUUCCCUCGAUCGCAAUUUGAUAUGAUUUCAGCUUCUCCAAAUUCCCCUGGCAUUUUAUCAAACCCUCUCUGCAGGACUGAUUUAAUUCUCCCUCAUGCUAAGAACUUAUCGAGAAGCUCUCCCUUACUAGUCUGCAUACUCCUCGAACCUGGAGACAAACCUGUCCUGUUCUGUAUCCACCCUACCCUUGCCUGUUAACCCAGCCCUAGCCCAAUGCUCAGUGUUAUCAUACGUUAUAACAUGGGCUUGUUGGUAAACUGAUUUGCCUUUUUUCCAGUUUUUGGCUGGAUCUACAAUUUCUUUUCUUUAGACUUGUGACAGCUUCAGCUUUUACAAAAUCUUGCACUACAAAGAAGAAAGAGAAAGACUCACUGGCCAGUGUGGAAGCUUUGUGGGAGCAUUCAGCAUUUUACACCCUUGCUAUGCACAUACCUCCAACCAAAACUGCUCAGAAGAGGGCCAGCCAAACCUCCCAGGAAACCUGACACAGCCAGGCAUUCACACUUCAGAAAAAAUGAAGAUGCAGAACGGGAAAAAAAAAAUCAUUAUGGGCCACAGCCAUCGCACAGUGAGAAACACUAAUUAUUCUGUGUAGCCUGAGAUUUUCUUAGUAGGCAAACUCUUUUGAAUAUUAACAAAUAUUUAUUUAGGAAUUAAUAAUUGACAUCUAUUAAAGCAUAAUUUAUGGAGAGUAAAUUCCUCUUGGUUUGGGUUCCUACCGCUGGGCUCAUCUGGCUGCUCCAGAAGUGACUCUUUCUUGUGUUAAAAGCAAAGUGCAAGGGGAGAGCUCGAGUUGGGGAUGGGGACACACUCCAGUGGCUGCACAGAACAAAGCUCAGUAGGAGGGCACCUGGUUAGGACUCAACCUCAACACUACCACUCGUGUUUGUGUGGCCUUCCCAAGCGGUCUUUCCAAGGCUAAUAAACAGUCGUCUUUAUGUCUACCUUUAUUUAGGUGGACAUGCUUGGUUACAAGUAAAGGAAAUUAUUUUGAGUUGGCUUGAGCAAUAAAGAGAAUGUGGGUAAGAAGCUGGAUCAGCUCCUGCAGCCCUGCCCGGGGACAUGGCUGGGCCUCGGGAGCCCCUGGGAGCCAGAGCUGGUAAGCUCUCAGCUCACUCUCUGGCUCUCACCUUUGCUCUUCACUCUGCACCUGCUGUUCCUGUCCAUUCUUUGGUCUCCAUGGCAAAAGCUGUCUCCUUGCAGCUCCUGAACUUCCCUGACAUGGGUGCUGCCAUAGAAGACAGUGUGAAAUCCCAUCUUGUUCCCAUUUCUACUUGCUCUGAAUAGUGCUGGCUGUUUGGUGGAAAGGUGCCUGUCACACAACCAACCGUGGACAGGGGCACGGGGUAUUAAAUUGUCUUCUAGGCACCACUGUUCAUUCAGUCAUUCAACAAUCGCUGACUGAGAGCCCACUUUGUGCCAGGUACUUUCAGGAGGCUGAGCAGUGAAUGAGGCAGAAAAAUGUGUCAGAGAGGUCACACUUGUCUCUGAAAACAGACCAUUCCAAGAGAAGCAGCAUCGGCAGAGAAUCAACAGGAAACCACUCAUUCAUCUAACUUUUCGAGGCUGUGUGAAAACAACAGUGAAAGCGCUAAGCCUUUGUAAAAUUAUAAGAGAUUUAUUAUGCUAUGAGACAUUUUUACAGAACACUAAUAAGUUAGAGGAAAUGGAAGAAAAGACAGAGGGAUUGGGAGAAAAAAGGAAAGUCCAUAGAAAUAGAAACUUGACAGAAAGGUUGAUUUUGGAGCAAAAUAAGAAUUAUUUUUAUACUUGGUGUCUUCAAAAAUUAAAAUGAAUGAUGGUAAGCUUUCCAUCCCUGAAAAGUAUUCAAGCCCAGACUAGAUCAGCUCCAAUCAGGGCUAAUUUAAAGGUCAUUCAUAAACUAGGCACGCAGUUGAUCAGGUGACCGAGGUGCUGUUCCUUUCCACAGCUCUGGAAACUGAUUUGCACAGUCAAAUCCAAGGUCUUAGGAGAUGCCACACUUCUGGCCUUCAAGGAGAGAGAUUGCCUGUCACCUUCCCUGGCCUCCCAAGACAAGAGCUUACACCUCAUUUUAACAUUAAAUAAAAACAGCAUUUCAUCUCCUCUGGAAUGCAAAACUGUGAAUUUGAGUGAAAUAUGCAGUUUUCAUUAUGUUAAAAGAUCUACUCAUUACAAUCAGGAUAAGAGGAUGUGAAUAAGACAAAUUGAUCACCACUUUAAAUGUAUUAAUCAGCUUGCAACUCUUGUCACCAGUCAAAACAGAACAGCCAGAUAUUUAUUCUGUCUCAGUUGCGUGUUAGAGCCCAUUUCAGGGGGUCACAGGAUCAGUGAGCCUCUGUAUGCAGUUUAUGGGCAAGCAGUCUCUAUGCACUGCAAAGUUCUUGCCUGCUUACAGUUUGACUAAGAAAACACAAUUAAAUAGGUUUACUCAUUCUGCAAAUAUUUAUUGAGCACAUACUGUGUGCCAAGCAUUGUGUAAGUCUCUAGAGAUGCAAUCAUAACUCAAAGCUGGCCCUUGCCCUUCCCAUUCUCAUGGUCUAGCCAGGAGGCAGAUGUGCAAGCAAACAAUUACAAUAAAGAGUAACUGACCUAAAUCAGUGGUCACUAUUAAGUGCUGUAGGACUAAGGACUAAUCUGGGGGUUGUGGUUGGAUGCACAGUCAUGAAGGAUAAAUACUCCAGACAGAUCUGUCUAAGCUUAAGGACUGGGAUGGAACAGAAGCUUUAGCGAGAAGAUGUGCCAGUCCAUUUCCAGAGUUAGAAUAUUAGAGGCUCAAUAAGAAGGUCCAGUUACCAAGUUCAGGAAGGACACGUCUUCUAGUCUGGUAGGCGAAACUUGGGCUGAUGAGGUUUUUGUUGGCUGAACUACCACAGGCGGCCCAAAGGAAAGCCAUGAACCUGGCUCAACCCCUCCCAGGAAGUGUGCUUAGUUCUUUCUCUCUCCCUGACAUAAUGGCCUUGGAGCUCUAUGGGCUGAGAGGCAGGUCAGGUCAGGACCUAGGAUCACUGGCACAGAGUGAUGGAAGGAUUUAUUCAAACAAUAGGAAGAAGGCCAGUCUCCCAGAAAGCGAGCUUCUUUCUGGGGAGAGGUUAGACUCAAAGGAAAUCCAGUGUGGUGCGGGGCCGGGUGGUGGGGUUAAGCCGCAGCAGGAUUUCCAGCCCUGGGAUAGGCUCCAUUCUCAGAGAACACAAUAUCAAUUCAAGGAUUCAGGUGCAAGGGAACCUGGAGCAGAGCCAUUGGCCAAGCCUGGGGCAGAAGGUGGCAGCAAGACCAGAGUCCAAAGGCUCCUUGUUCAAUGCCUGCACCACUAAUGCCCCUGCCUGAGAACAGGAAGGCAAGGCCGAGCUGUAACAUGUGAGCAGCUAACCCUCCACUAAGGGCAGUAGGAGCUUCAGGAACAGAAAACAUGAUGUAUGACCACAAGCCCUUGCUCCGUCCAGUCAAGACCAGUGCUUAGGACAGUGUCUAAAAAAACCUUGGAGGUAGAUUCAUGGGGAAGCCUGGUGUCUACCUGAAAUGAAGCACUUUGGCUUGGGGCUGGGGACUCAGGUAUCAGUGGGGAAGAGAGAUAGAACCAUCCAAAAAGGGGGAACAGCCCAGAAGAUUUUUUCAGCUGCCUUUGCUCUAAGCCUCAUGGAAAAAGUAAGGAACUAUUUGAGUUCAAGAAAAGCCAGGUAUCUUCUGGCACAAUCCUUUUUUACUCUAAGCAAUUCAUGAGGAGAAACAAUCAAGCUGCUGAGUUGGACUUUACAAGUUACUGAUUUUUUUUUUUUUUUUUUAGCUUCAGUUAUCUGCUGUUGAUGAUUCCAUUAUGAGGAAGGAGAGAGGUGUAAACUCAAUCUAGGGGCCUCUGGAGCAGGGCAUUUAUCUGCUUAAUGAGGUUGCAAGAGACCAUAAUACAUGUUUUAUGGGCCCAGUCUCAUUUUUAAUCUGCUUUGAUAAGAUCGCUAUGCUGGAAGGAUAUAGAAACUCCCAGACAGACCCAGCUCAAGACAGAGACAAUGAUACUGGCUUGGGAGGGUUUUGCUCAUGAGGUAGGGUCCAUGGAGCAUUCCCUGCAUGUUAACUCUUAAGACCUUGCUCAGUCAGGGCAGUCUUGUUCCAUCCUCCCAGACACUCCUUCCAGAAGAUACCGGGUGGUAGCAGGCAUGAGAGGGCACAGACUUCAGAUCGUGACAGAGUAAGUCACUUUAACUGCUCCUUUUGGACGUAGCAGAAGUAGCAUUUUCAAAUGAAUAGCCUGUGUAGAGAAUAGGAGAAAAUGGAAGUCACAUGCAUAGGAAUUAACAAGGUUGUAGGCACCAACUUCUGAUCCUAGCUCUCAGAGUUAAAGGUUAAUUGAACCUCAUCAUCCCCAGCCUUGACCAUCUCCAAUCAUCUGCCAUCUUGGAUCUUCCAGUCCUGUUCCCUGCUUCACUUCUCCCAAAAGAAUAAGGAGAGCAUAUGCAUUGACCAAGGCCAGGACAAGUAGUUCUUGCUAAAUUUUAACCUACUCCCUACCAUUUCCUGGUCUCUGCAGCUAGGCUGGGGCUGCAUGCCACGUCUGUAGGCUGUGAGUGGAGUCAUUUGUGUUGUUUCCAGUUCAAAGUUGUCAAGAGAGGGUGUGAAUUCUCCACAUACUCUUGCCCUUCCACAGUGUGGGAAGUGACAACUAUCAAGACAUCAGAGAUGAGCGGUGGACAGAGUUCUGAUCCCUGAAUCACUAUUGGAAAAAUGCCUCCAAGAAUGCUGCCUGACCAUACUCAAGCAUUUGGUUGAGUUCUGUCCCUGAGGUUUUGGGAUUGUCUGUUCUUGCUGUCUGGGUUAGCCUAUCCCAACUAAUGCAUGAAGCAACUUCUAUGAAUCCAGGAUGGCACAGGGUUCUUUCCUAUAAAUUAUCUCAAACUCAUCUCAUGAACGUCUACUCCAGGAGAGUUCUGACCUAGUACAGUUUGGGCCAGUGAUGGGAUUUCUACAUCCCCCAAGAUCCUGCUUCUUCCUGUAUACCUCCAGAUCUUAUGCCAGAACUUCUGAGUCUCGAGACUCUUGGGUUCUGCCUAUUGUUAAGGACUCUCUUGAGAAUGCAGGCUAUUCUUUCAACCACCUUUCCCCCUGAACUUGACCAUCACUGUAUGCUGGAAGAGUCACCAUUUUACUGAAUUUAGUUUACUGGAUGGUGACUGUAGAGUGCAUAAAAUAUUAACAUUUCAGUCAGACAAGUCUGGGUCCAAAUCUUAGCAUUAUCACUUCAUUCGUUCACACAUGCAUUCACAGUACAGAAAAUGCAGUCAAGGAGUUUCCAUUGUGGCUCCGUGGUAAUGAACCACUAGUAUCCAUGAAGAUGGGGAUUUGACCCCUGGCCCUGCUCACUGGGUUAGGGAUCUGGCAUCGCCAUGAGCUAUGGUGUAGGUAACAAACGUGGCUCGGAUCUGGUGUUACUGUGACUGUGAUGUAGGACAGCAGCUGUGGCUCUGAUUAGACCCCUAGCCUAGGAACUUCCAUAUGCCAUGGU